GAAAGUCGGAUUAAUACCGCAUGAAACAGGGGUUCCGCAUGGGAAUAUUUGUUAAAGAUUUAUCGCUUGUAGAUGGGCAUGCGUUCCAUUAGAUAGUUGGUGAGGUAACGGCUCACCAAGUCUACGAUGGAUAGGGGUUCUGAGAGGAAGGUCCCCCACACUGGUACUGAGACACGGACCAGACUCCUACGGGAGGCAGCAGUGAGGAAUAUUGGUCAAUGGUCGAGAGACUGAACCAGCCAAGUCGCGUGAAGGAUGAAGGAUCUAUGGUUCGUAAACUUCUUUUAUAAGGGAAUAAAAAGAUCUACGUGUAGGUUAUUGCAUGUACCUUAUGAAUAAGCAUCGGCUAACUCCGUGCCAGCAGCCGCGGUAAUACGGAGGAUGCGAGCGUUAUCCGGAUUUAUUGGGUUUAAAGGGUGCGUAGGUGGUUUUUUAAGUCAGUGGUGAAAGUUUGUCGCUCAACGAUAAAAUUGCCAUUGAAACUGGGAGACUUGAGUAUGUUUGAGGUAGGCGGAAUGCGUGGUGUAGCGGUGAAAUGCUUAGAUAUCACGCAGAACUCCGAUUGCGAAGGCAGCUUACUAAACCAUAACUGACACUGAAGCACGAAAGCGUGGGGAUCAAACAGGAUUAGAUACCCUGGUAGUCCACGCCGUAAACGAUGAUAACUAGGAGUUAGCGAUAGACAGUUAGCUCUACAGCGAAAGCGUUAAGUUAUCCACCUGGGGAGUACGCCGGCAACGGUGAAACUCAAAGGAAUUGACGG
RNAcentral lists this ribosomal RNA (763 nucleotides) under uncultured bacterium. RNAcentral's name for it is "bacterial SSU rRNA". It matches the Rfam family "Bacterial small subunit ribosomal RNA", at positions 153 to 916 of the family's 1533-position model. The record is from RNAcentral.